UAGGGAAUAUUGGACAAUGGGGGCAACCCUGAUCCAGCCAUGCCGCGUGAGUGAAGAAGGCCCUCGGGUUGUAAAGCUCUUUUGUCCGGAAAGAAAAGCUUCGGGUUAAUACCCCGGGGUUCUGACGGUACCGGAAGAAUAAGCACCGGCUAACUUCGUGCCAGCAGCCGCGGUAAUACGAAGGGUGCAAGCGUUACUCGGAAUUACUGGGCGUAAAGCGUGCGUAGGUGGUUGUUUAAGUGUGAUGUGAAAGCCCUGGGCUCAACCUGGGAAUGGCAUUGGNAACGGGGGAGCUAGAGUGCGGUAGAGGGUAGUGGAAUUCCCGGUGUAGCAGUGAAAUGCGUAGAGUUCGGGAGGAACAUCUGUGGCGAAGGCGACUGCCUGGACCAGCACUGACACUGAGGCACGAAAGCGUGGGGAGCAAACA
RNAcentral lists this ribosomal RNA (427 nucleotides) under uncultured bacterium. RNAcentral describes it as "bacterial SSU rRNA". It matches the Rfam family "Bacterial small subunit ribosomal RNA", at positions 355 to 774 of the family's 1533-position model. The record is from RNAcentral.